GCUUCGAUGGUCUAAUGGUUAGGAUUCCACACUUCCAUAAGUGUCAUGUGGAGGUCCGUGUUCAAUUCACGGUCGAUGCA
Molecule: non-coding RNA, 80 nt
Organism: Oidiodendron maius Zn
Lineage: Eukaryota; Fungi; Ascomycota; Leotiomycetes; Myxotrichaceae
Source: the annotation of a GenBank genome assembly